Molecule: small nuclear RNA, 104 nt
Organism: Arvicanthis niloticus (Nile rat)
Lineage: Eukaryota; Metazoa; Chordata; Mammalia; Rodentia; Muridae
Source: RefSeq, a predicted model, not a curated record
GCUCACUUUAUCAGAACACAUAUUACUACUGAACAGUACAGAAAAUAUUAGCAUGGCCCCUGUGUAAGGAGGGCACACAAAAUCAUAUAACAUUUCACUUUUCU